CUGUCUUCGUCCUCCACUCUCGCCCACCUCCCACUCUGUUCCAGUAUUCCAGAAUCCCUCCCGCCUCCCACCCAGCGACCUAGCGGCGCCGACGACCCCGUCGAUCGUCGUCGUUCCCAUCGAAUCAGCCCCCAUUGCGACCCUCGCCAGUCGCCCCCAGGCCACCCACUGCGACCCUCGCCCAGUCGCCCCCAAGUUAGAUAGCUUAUUUCCGUCCUCCCGUCGUUCCGCCGCCGUCGAGCUUGUCGCCCCGUAGUAGCCGCGCCGCCUCCGAGCUCCGACAAUAGUGUUGCUUUGGAGUGUGCAUGUAGUAUAAGAGGACGUGUUCUAUCACCGUAUAGAAGCUCUUUGGCGGCGGAAAUGGUUGAGGCCUUGAUUUGUUCUGAGGAUUGGUUAAGAUCUACCAAUCUUGAUAAAAAAGAUGAAGAAGGUGUUCUGGAAUAAAAUCAACAGAAGGAGUUUGAAAUGGCUAUACUCAUGGUGAUUUGAGGACGUCACAGAGUCAGACGGAUCAAAGUGGAACUUGUGCGGCGGAGUAGCCAUGGACAUCAUUUUAUUAAACUUUCUGAUUUAUUUGAGUAUUUGACAUUUGUUUGUGUAACUUACUUGGUUACUUAAGACGUUCGUUCAAUUUAAAAUUUUAGACUUGGGAGUUGAGAUU
Salvia miltiorrhiza (redroot sage) is the source of this 661-nucleotide long non-coding RNA. RefSeq lists it as uncharacterized. The record is from RefSeq and is a predicted model, not a curated record. The transcript has 3 exons. NCBI's taxonomy places the organism in Eukaryota, Viridiplantae, Streptophyta, Magnoliopsida, Lamiales, Lamiaceae.